GAAACAGUACAUUAGGAUAACUCUGAAGAAAUGUGUCUGCGAUGAAGUCAAAAGAGAAGGAGCUGGAGGCCCCGGGAGUGCAGACGGCAUUUCAGUGCUCACAGGAGAGCGUCCGUAGAUGGCGAGGACAGAGAAGGGGUUACCAGGGCUUCCAAAACCGCGAGAAAUAAAUGUCUGUGUCUAAACCCCAACCCUACCACCUCAACUGCCGUGUGUGGUGUUUUGUGAUGGCAGCCCCAGCUGACUGAGACACCUGGUUAGACCGGAAUAAGCAGUACCUGAGUCCCUUAAGAGUGGCCAAAGAAGAAAGAAUCCACUGAGUUGACAUUCCAGUUCAGCUGCAAUCGGUAGCAGUCACCAUUGAACAUCCUUGAAGCAAUUCUUCCAAAAUUACCUUGCAUCAAAGACUGCACAAGAACUGCUCUAAGCGGAAGGACUGAUGUCGGCAACCAGGGUUCCACCAGGGGCUGCAGACAGCCCUUGACCUUCAGGUGGGAAGGUGUCACUGAGUUCAGACCCUCUGGCAAUCCCUAGCUAUCAACAUUUUGAUAAGAAAAUAAGUGGAAAGGUAGAACUGGAAGAUUUUGCUGAAAGAUUGGACAUGGCAUUCAGAGAAACAGAGGUUUUAAUGACAAACUCCAAGUUUUUGGCUGGAGCAACUGGAAGAAUGAGGUUGCCAUGAACCGAAAAGAGAGAUUGCAGAAGUAACCAAAUUUACUCACGUAGGCCAGGAAUUUCUAUGACGUGUUCCAAAUUCAGCCUCUCACUGAACACUUCCAGAGCAAGGCAACAUAAACAUCUGCAAGAAGAACAUUGUGUGAGAAAUAUCAAGUGAGAGUGGAAGAGUCUGCGGAGGGCCUCCCUGGGGCUCACCUGUGCUUUUGCCUGAGCUUCACCGUGUCAAGGAUGCAGCACUUUUUCCCUCUGGAGGAAGCAGCUUUCACCUUGGAAGAAUCUUGACCUUGCCAUUCAAAGUCACCAGACAGGGAAUCUGCCAGUGCCUUGAUCUUAGACUUCCCAGCUUCUGUAACUGUGAGCAAUAAAUGUAUGCUGCUUAUAAACUA
Molecule: long non-coding RNA, 1064 nt
Filed under: Homo sapiens (human)
Lineage: Eukaryota; Metazoa; Chordata; Mammalia; Primates; Hominidae
Description: HSALNT0338169
Source: RNAcentral